Molecule: ribosomal RNA, 305 nt
Filed under: uncultured bacterium
Lineage: Bacteria
Description: bacterial SSU rRNA
Rfam family: Bacterial small subunit ribosomal RNA
Source: RNAcentral
GGCCGCCUACGGGACGCAGCAGUGGGGAAUAUUGCACAAUGGGGGAAACCCUGAUGCAGCGACGCCGCGUGAGUGAAGAAGUAUUUCGGUAUGUAAAGCUCUAUCAGCAGGGAAGAUAAUGACGGUACCUGACUAAGAAGCCCCGGCUAACUACGUGCCAGCAGCCGCGGUAAUACGUAGGGGGCAAGCGUUAUCCGGAUUUACUGGGUGUAAAGGGUGCGUAGGUGGCAGGGCAAGUCAGAUGUGAAAGCCCGGGGCUCAACCCCGGUACUGCAUUUGAAACUGCCAUGCUAGAGUGCUGGAGG